GACGAACGCUGGCGGCGUGCUUAACACAUGCAAGUCGAACGGAAAGGCCCUGCUUGCCGGGUACUCGAGUGGCGAACGGGUGAGUAACACGUGGGUGAUCUGCCCUGCACUUCGGGAUAAGCCUGGGAAACUGGGUCUAAUACCGGAUAGGAGCCAUUAUCAGCGUGAUGGUUGGAAAGUUUUUUCGGUGUAGGAUGAGCUCGCGGCCUAUCAGCUUGUUGGUGGGAUAAUGGCCUACCAAGGCGGCGACGGGUAGCCGGCCUGAGAGGGUGGACGGCCACAUUGGGACUGAGGUACGGCCCAGACUCCUACGGGAGGCAGCAGUGGGGAAUAUUGCACAAUGGGCGCAAGCCUGAUGCAGCGACGCCGCGUGGGGGAUGACGGCCUUCGGGUUGUAAACUCCUUUCGCUAGGGACGAAGCUUUUGUGACGGUACCUAGAGAAGAAGCACCGGCUAACUACGUG
RNAcentral lists this ribosomal RNA (464 nucleotides) under uncultured bacterium. RNAcentral's name for it is "partial 16S ribosomal RNA". It matches the Rfam family "Bacterial small subunit ribosomal RNA", at positions 28 to 507 of the family's 1533-position model. The record is from RNAcentral.